Molecule: ribosomal RNA, 499 nt
Filed under: uncultured bacterium
Lineage: Bacteria
Description: partial 16S ribosomal RNA
Rfam family: Bacterial small subunit ribosomal RNA
Source: RNAcentral
AUUGAACGCUGGCGGCAUGCUUUACACAUGCAAGUCGAACGGUAACAGGGUGCUUGCACCGCUGACGAGUGGCGAACGGGUGAGUAAUGCGUCGGAACGUGCCGAGUAGUGGGGGAUAACGCAGCGAAAGUUGUGCUAAUACCGCAUACGUACUGGGGUAGAAAGUGGGGGACCUUCGGGCCUCACGCUAUUCGAGCGGCCGACGUCUGAUUAGCUUGUAGGUGAGGUAAAGGCUCACCUAGGCGACGAUCAGUAGCGGGUCUGAGAGGAUGAUCCGCCACACUGGGACUGAGACACGGCCCAGACUCCUACGGGAGGCAGCAGUGGGGAAUUUUGGACAAUGGGCGAAAGCCUGAUCCAGCCAUGCCGCGUGUCUGAAGAAGGCCUUCGGGUUGAAAGGACUUUUGUCAGGGAGGAAAUCCCUAGUGCUAAUAACACUGGGGGAUGACAGUACCUGAAGAAUAAGCACCGGCUAACUACGUGCCAGCCGCCGCGGUAA